AUGGGGGCGCACGGGGGCGGGGGGCUGAGGGCCUCAGGCCAGGCCAAGCGACCCGGAGCCCAGGGCACAAAUGAGGCCGGGUACAGCCGGGGGUCACCGGACCGCACCGGACGAAGGACGUGGGCACCGAGCCGGCCCGAAGCGAAGGGGGCACCGCGGGUCGGUUCCGGUUCCGGUUCCGGUUCCGGUUGGGGCCCGGCCGCCGCUCACCUGCGCGCGCCGCCGCCACCUCGGCCGUGCUUGGAGCGGGCGUCAGGUGACCGCGGCGCCGUCACGUGGCCCUGCGGCAGCCGCCAAUCAGCGCCGCCCCUGGCGCCCGGCGGCGCGCGGCCCGUUGCUAGGGGCGGUGUCUGCGUGGCAACGGGCGGGGCCUGGAGCGGCCUGAGCGGGCCUGGGGCCUGCGGCCUGCACGGCGUGAGCGGCGUGCGCGGCCCGUGGGGCGCGGCGAGAGCCUGGUGUGUCCCGGCCGGCCCCGUCCCGGUUCGGCAUCCCGAGCCCGGCGCCCAUACCGGGCCCCUCAGCCCGCAGCUCCCGGCGCGGGGCCGCUCGGGGCCGCCAGGUGGGGCUGCGGGGCCGGGCAGCGGCCCGUCUCGGCACCGAGCGGUGCCUGUGGGAAUCGUUCGGCCUGAUGCCGUGCUCGUUUGUAGCGUAGUUUGCCCGCGAGCCGUUCAUUUUUUAUUGCAAUUAAAUUCGGAAGGUAUUUAUGGUCGUUUUUAUUACGCUCAGUUGUACUGCGUACAGUAUCGGGAUGUAUCGGGAUGGAUGGAGGGGGGGGACGUCCGGGGAACGCAUAGGAUGUUUUGCGGUGGAUCUGUGGACGUGUUGGGUUUCAGCCUGGAGCAGGCAGGGCCCGGGCAGCGCCAUGGCACCGAGCAGCGUGCUGCCCGCCCCGCGCUGGGCACCGUGCCUGGGCCGGGCCGUGCCCCGGGGCGAGGCCCAUGGCUCCCAGCCACCCGGGCUGCUGGGCACGCAGGCGGAGCCGGGGGCUGCAGGCAUAACGUGAAACCCUGGAACUGCCCGCAGCCGCUGCUUUGCUUCUGCUGCAGCUCUGAGGUGCCCGCGUGUCCCGGUGGUGUGAGCAGAGCCUCGGUGUGCACGGGGACGUGGGCGGCUUGCAGCACUUCCAGGCCACAGCCACCGACAGACCAUGGCUGCUGCAGCCCUGGACCCGGCCAGGCACAGCUCUCCACGGUGCUCCCGUGGCUCUCCCUGCCCCGGGCAUUGCCGUGCUGCAUGCGAGAUGUCCAGGUGGAGAGGGAGGAUGCUGGAGGCAUGCGGAGCCUUUGGCUCUGCACUGAGGCCAUACCUGCAGUCUGUGUGCUCUUGCUUCUCUUAGCCCUCCAGCCUGCCGCCUCGUUUCUGUACACGCAGCUCCUCUUGCCCUGCAGCAGUGAGUGCCUGCUGCUGGCUCCAGCCUGCUCGUGUGGCCACGGGGUCUGUGGAGGCUACCCAGCCCCGGCUCAGGAGUCGGUGUACUGGGCUCCAGCUUGGGGAUGGGAGCUGCACUCAGAGGGGAGCCAGGUGCAGGGGCUGCACAGGAGCACGGUGCUGGCUCAAAGCAGCUGA
This 1566-nucleotide long non-coding RNA is filed under the name Numida meleagris (helmeted guineafowl). RNAcentral describes it as "lncRNA (ENSNMEG00000012378.1)". The record is from RNAcentral. Lineage: Eukaryota; Metazoa; Chordata; Aves; Galliformes; Numididae.